This 1374-nucleotide long non-coding RNA is filed under the name Mytilus galloprovincialis (Mediterranean mussel). The record is from RNAcentral. Lineage: Eukaryota; Metazoa; Mollusca; Bivalvia; Mytilida; Mytilidae.
CCAGAUAUUAUUAAAAUAUAAAGUUAUAAAUGUUAAUUUGUUCAGUUAUAUUUAUGUCUUUUCCUUCAUUAUUUGUCAGAAAGAACAAAUAUUUAUAAAAGCCUUAGAUUGUACAUUGUGCUAAUAUAUUAACUUUGAGAUCAUUUUGAUCUCAUUUGACACAAGAAUUUUAAGUAAUUAAUAACAAGGAAUGUUCAAUUUGAUCUUUACAAAACCAUAUUUUACAGGAGGAAACAUUUUCUAGUUUUCAUUAUUUUAAGUUGUAAAAAAUUUGUUAAAAAUCUUUGUAGUAAUUACUACUAUACAUUUUUGCAUUGUUUUAGGAAAUUUAUCUUUAUAAUCAAAAUCAACAUUUCCAAAUAGUCAUGGUCAAUUUAUUAAAAACCUAAAAUAUACAGGGAUUAUAUAUAAUUAUGAGGGCAGAAAGAUUUGACAAGUAUGUUUUAGUAUAUUUUUUAGAGUUUUCCUUACACAAUUCAAUCUUAUCACUCAAAGGGAGAUAAUAGAUUGGAUAUGCUAAGAAUAUUUGAAUUAUCUCCAUUAGAGCACUAGACCAACAAUCUGGAUUAAUGUAGUACCCACUGUCAGCUAGUAGCCAAGUGUUCAUUAAAAGAUGACUUAAAGAUAAGGUUAUUAUGGUUUAUAAAUAAAUAAUGUUUCUUGAUAAGAAGCUUUGUCAAUUGUGUUUAUGGUUAGUUGAUAUCACACCUAUGGGGGUUAUUAUUCACCUUAGACUUCACAUGAAGUUUAACAUGGUUGGCCACAAUAGUGGAUAUUAAAUUUUUAAACCAUUUUCCCGUUCAUAAUUCAAAGGCUAGAAAAAGGACAAAGUGCAAUUUUUCUGACAUGGCAUAAAUUUCAAAUAAAUUCAAUUUAAAGAUUUUAAUCAAGUGUUGAGGAAUUCUUUGAUAAGAUCACUCAGAUGAAUAUCAUCCGGCAAUUUCACCCUACUCAAAGAGAAUCUUGAGAGCUGACAUUUUAUUUGUUGUUUUCAAUGACAGUCAAGGAUUGUACUGUAAAAAAGGAAUGUUAUUGAAUAAUAUUUAUUGAUAUAAACCAGUAAAAAAAAAUUGAAAAUUGAAGAAUAAAGUCAAUAAAAUUAAAAUAAUGAUUCCUUAAAUUGAAUGAUUAAUUUUUCAAAAAGCUUGGAAAUCAAUCAACCUCUAGAAUUAUGUUUUGUUAGUGUAGGUGUGUUAUAUUUAUUAUAUCAUAUAGCAUUUAUUGUUGAUAGCAAACAAAAAACCAUUUCUAAUCAGAUAUAUAGAAAAAUGCUUAGAAAGUUUAUUGAAUAAUACUUUAUUCAGAAACAAUACAGCUUAUAGAAUAUAUGUUGCACAAUAAAUAUUGUUUUAUGCAAUAUGCAUAGGAUUUUAC